UGAGACACGGACCAGACUUCCUACGGGAAGGCAGCAGUAAGGAAUAUUGGUCAAUGGGCGCAAGCCUGAACCAGCCAUGCCGCGUGCAGGAAGACGGCCCUACGGGUUGUAAACUGCUUUUGUACCGGAAUAAACCUUUUCACGUGUGAGAAGCUGAAUGUACGGUAAGAAUAAGGAUCGGCUAACUCCGUGCCAGCAGCCGCGGUAAUACGGAGGAUCCAAGCGUUAUCCGGAUUUAUUGGGUUUAAAGGGUGCGUAGGCGGUUCUUUAAGUCAGGGGUGAAAGACGGUAGCUUAACUAUCGCAGUGCCUUUGAUACUGAAGAACUUGAAUACACUUGAGGUAGGCGGAAUGUGACAAGUAGCGGUGAAAUGCAUAGAUAUGUCACAGAACACCAAUUGCGAAGGCAGCUUACUAAAGUGUCAUUGACGCUGAGGCACGAAAGCGUGGGGAUCAAACAGGAUUAGAUACCCUGGUAGUCCACGCCCUAAACGAUGAAUACUCGAUGUUGGCGAUAUACGGUCAGCGUCUAAGCGAAAGCGUUAAGUAUUCCACCUGGGGAGUACGCCCGCAAGGGUGAAACUCAAAGGAAUUGACGGGGGCCCGCACAAGCGGAGGAGCAUGUGGUUUAAUUCGAUGAUACGCGAGGAACCUUACCCGGGCUUGAAAGUUAGUGAAUGAGACAGAGACGUCUCAGUCCUUCGGGACACGAAACUAGGUGCUGCAUGGCUGUCGUCAGCUCGUGCCGUGAGGUGUUGGGUUAAGUCCCGCAACGAGCGCAACCCCUGUGAAUAGUUGCCAGCACGUAAUGGUGGGGACUCUAUUCAGACUGCCUAUGCAAAUAGAGAGGAAGGAGGGGACGACGUCAAGUCAUCAUGGCCCUUACGUCCGGGGCUACACACGUGCUACAAUGGAUGGUACAGCGGGCAGCUACCUGGCAACAGGAUGCCAAUCUCGUAAAGCCAUUCACAGUUCGGAUCGGGGUCUGCAACUCGACCCCGUGAAGUUGGAUUCGCUAGUAAUCGCGUAUCAGCAAUGACGCGGUGAAUACGUUCCCGGGCCUUGUACACACCGCCCGUCAAGCCAUGGAAGCUGGAAGUGCCUGAAGUGCGUAACCGUAAGGAGCGUC
This 1128-nucleotide ribosomal RNA is filed under the name Mucilaginibacter sp. L294. Its description in RNAcentral is "bacterial SSU rRNA". It matches the Rfam family "Bacterial small subunit ribosomal RNA", at positions 320 to 1456 of the family's 1533-position model. The record is from RNAcentral. Lineage: Bacteria; Pseudomonadati; Bacteroidota; Sphingobacteriia; Sphingobacteriales; Sphingobacteriaceae.